ACGGGAGCCGGGCUCCGCCCACGACUUCACUUACAUAUAAACUUCGUCCGGACUCCUACGGGAGCCGGACUUCACCCACAACCCCAAUUGCAGGUAGAUUUCUUCCGGACUCCUACGGGAGCCGGACUUCGCCCUCAACUCCAAUUGCAGGAAGACUCAGUCCGGACUCCUACGGGAGUCGGAUCUCGUCUCCGACUCCGGCCGCA
This 206-nucleotide long non-coding RNA is filed under the name Elaeis guineensis (African oil palm). RNAcentral describes it as "long non-coding RNA (EGUI_LNC019077)". Lineage: Eukaryota; Viridiplantae; Streptophyta; Magnoliopsida; Arecales; Arecaceae. The record is from RNAcentral.